UACAGAGGUCUCAAGCGUUGUUCGGAUUCAUUGGGCGUAAAGGGUGUGUAGGUGGCGCGCUAAGUCGGGUGUGAAAUUUCGAGGCUUAACUUCGAAACUGCAUUCGAUACUGCCGUGCUAGAGGACUGGAGAGGAGACUGGAAUUUACGGUGUAGCGGUGAAAUGCGUAGAUAUCGUAAGGAAGACCAGUGGCGAAGGCGGGUCUCUGGACAGUUCCUGACGCUGAGGCACGAAGGCCAGGGGAGCAAACGGG
RNAcentral lists this ribosomal RNA (253 nucleotides) under uncultured bacterium. Its description in RNAcentral is "partial 16S ribosomal RNA". It matches the Rfam family "Bacterial small subunit ribosomal RNA", at positions 524 to 776 of the family's 1533-position model. The record is from RNAcentral.